RNAcentral lists this ribosomal RNA (809 nucleotides) under uncultured Flexibacteraceae bacterium. RNAcentral describes it as "bacterial SSU rRNA". It matches the Rfam family "Bacterial small subunit ribosomal RNA", at positions 39 to 860 of the family's 1533-position model. The record is from RNAcentral. Lineage: Bacteria; Pseudomonadati; Bacteroidota; Cytophagia; Cytophagales; Cytophagaceae.
GCGGCGGGCCUAUACAUGCAAGUCGAACGAUGCAGCAAUGCAUAGUGGCAGACGGGUGCGUAACGCGUAUGCAACCUACCCCGGAUCGGGGAACAACUUCGCGAAAGUGGAGCUAAUACCGCGUAACAUUGCGGGGCGGCAUCGUCCUGCAAUUAAACUUACGGGGAUCCGGGAUGGGCAUGCGUCUGAUUAGCUAGUUGGUGGGGUAACGGCUCACCAAGGCGACGAUCAGUAGGGGAACUGAGAGGUUGAUCCCCCACACUGGCACUGAGAUACGGGCCAGACUCCUACGGGAGGCAGCAGUAGGGAAUAUUGGGCAAUGGUCGGAAGACUGACCCAGCCACGCCGCGUGCAGGAGGAAGGCCCUCUGGGUUGUAAACUGCUUUAGCAGGGGAAGAAAAUACUCAUGCGUGAGGAAUUGCCGGUACCCUGAGAAUAAGCACCGGCUAACUACGUGCCAGCAGCCGCGGUAAUACGUAGGGUGCAAGCGUUGUCCGGAUUUAUUGGGUUUAAAGGGUGCGUAGGCGGCCUGUUNAAGUCAGUGUUUAAAUUUUGCAGCUUAACUGUAGGUAUGGCAUUGAUACUGAUGGGCUUGAAUAUUUUAGAGGUAGCUGGGAAUUUAUGGUGUAGCGGUGAAAUGCAUAGAUACCAUAAGGAACACCGAUAGCGGAGGCAUGUUACCAUGAGAUGAUUGACGCUGAGGCACGAAAGUGUGGGGAUCAAACAGGAUUAGAUACCCUGGUAGUCCACACUGUAAACGAUGAUUACUAGAUGCCGGGCANUUGUGUUCGGUGUUCAAGCGAAAGCGA